Long non-coding RNA from Pogoniulus pusillus (Red-fronted tinkerbird), 263 nucleotides. RefSeq lists it as uncharacterized. The record is from RefSeq and is a predicted model, not a curated record. Lineage: Eukaryota; Metazoa; Chordata; Aves; Piciformes; Lybiidae. The transcript has 2 exons.
UAAUCGGCCCCAGGAGAGGCAGAAGCCCCAAGCUUGCCCAAGUGGGCAGAGGGAUCCUCCUCCUGGCAUCACUGACUUUGCUGAAGCAGAGCGUUUAAACACCAGCGUAGAAGCGCCACGCUGAGGAAAGUUAGGCAGCGUGGAAAAGAAUAGCUGCCAUGGAAAUGGCAGCCUGAGCAGUCAUGACAAGCAGGAUAAAUCUUCCAGCCCAUGGAUGAUUUGUUAAGUGUUUUGCAAAUAUAUAUAUACAUGUUGCAGAUAUA